CCCUUAGAUUUUCUGGGCCGCACGCGCGCUACACUGAUGCAUUCAACGAGUCUAAAACCUGGUCUGAUAGGGCUGGGUAAUCUUUUGAAUGUGCAUCGUGAUUGGGAUAGAUGAUUGCAAUUCUUCAUCUUCAACGAGGAAUGCCUAGUAAACGCAAGUCAUCAGCUUGCAUUGAUUACGUCCCUGCCCUUUGUACACACCGCCCGUCGCUCCUACCGAUUGAAUGUUCCGAUGAAUACCAUGGACUGAGAGUAUGAAUGGGUUCGCCUAUUUCUGCUUCUCGGGAAGUGGAGUAAAUCUUAACAUUUAGAGGAAGGAGAAGUCGUAACA
RNAcentral lists this ribosomal RNA (330 nucleotides) under uncultured eukaryote. RNAcentral describes it as "partial 18S ribosomal RNA". It matches the Rfam family "Eukaryotic small subunit ribosomal RNA", at positions 1470 to 1796 of the family's 1831-position model. The record is from RNAcentral.